Non-coding RNA from Podarcis lilfordi (Lilford's wall lizard), 929 nucleotides. The record is from the annotation of a GenBank genome assembly. Lineage: Eukaryota; Metazoa; Chordata; Lepidosauria; Squamata; Lacertidae.
AAGGGAAGGGUGGGGCUGUCCAUGCUGGGUGCUGAUACUCAGCCUGGACUUAAUCCCAAAUCACAGAAUUGUAGAGUUGGAAGGGGCCCUGUGGAUCAUCUAUUCCAACCCCCGAAUAUGCAGCUGUCCUGUACGGGGAUCAAACGCUCAACCUUGGCUUUAUCAGCACCAUGCUUUAACCAACUGAGCUAUCCAGGCUUGUUAGUGUGCCCAGGAAAUACAGUCCUGGUUUAACUGUACCAAGCUCAAGAAAGAGAUCAAAGAGGGCGGUUGGCUCAGGAUGCCCAUAGGAAAGGCAAAAGAGCUACAGAAUCAAUCAGCCUCUUUCCCCAAAGGUGUCAUGGAGGGGGUGGGGAACAGGACCAUUGCUCAGUGGUUAGAGCACAUGCCUUUCCAGGUAGGGUUCCCAGUCUGAAAUCCAUCUGUGCUGUUGCCGGUCAGUGUAGACGCCUCUGAGCUAGAUGGACCAAUGGUCUGACUCAGUACAAUGCAGCUUCCUGUGUUUCUACGAAUUUCUGUUGCUCCUUAUAAUGAGACAGGAUGUACCGUUUCUUACAGAUGCUUAUCAAACCUGAGAUACAGACACACCCACAGUGGAAAAUGCAAUGUCUGCUGGCAGUGGGAGGGCUGUAAUGUAGCGAGACAUACAUGAUAAUAAUUUGUACUAACAUUUUGUUCUUUCUUCCAGAAUUAAAUUACCCAACUGACCACAGAGGAGGGCUUGUUGUUUUCACCCACAAUGUACACACACUCAUUCUUCAUGUUACCACAUUGGUUUUGCAGAAUCGUGUAGCCGCAGCUCCCGAUCCUAUGCAAAUCUUCCCGGGAGCUGCUGACAUCUAGCCCAAUGGUUGCCAUGAAUUUGAUUUUGAAUUAAUUUUAAAAUGAAUUGAUUUUAGAAUGUUGUGUUACUUUUAUUGUUGUUAGCC